GGGGAGUAAUAUACAAAAUUAUUGAAUUGUUUAGAAUUAUUAUAAUAUCUCAUGUCUUACCAGCUAGGCGAACUUCUAAAGUUUAUUUUUAUGUACAUACAUACAUUCGCACUAAUAGGUGUGUUUUGAUAUUUCAGAGUCCUUCUUGUCCGUCGUGUUGCCCUUGUCGCUUGCCAGAGAGUUUGAUAACUGAUAGCAUUACUUUACAUUCACUUGAAGAGGUAGAGAUCUACUUCUUCCAAGGAUCAGAAGAACUACUAG
Molecule: long non-coding RNA, 261 nt
Filed under: Setaria viridis
Lineage: Eukaryota; Viridiplantae; Streptophyta; Magnoliopsida; Poales; Poaceae
Description: long non-coding RNA (SVIR_LNC002416)
Source: RNAcentral